Molecule: ribosomal RNA, 434 nt
Filed under: uncultured Lachnospiraceae bacterium
Lineage: Bacteria; Bacillati; Bacillota; Clostridia; Lachnospirales; Lachnospiraceae
Description: partial 16S ribosomal RNA
Rfam family: Bacterial small subunit ribosomal RNA
Source: RNAcentral
ACGGAAGGCAGCAGUGGGGAAUAUUGCACAAUGGGGGAAACCCUGAUGCAGCGACGCCGCGUGAGUGAAGAAGUAUCUCGGUAUGUAAAGCUCUAUCAGCAGGGAAGAAAAUGACGGUACCUGCCUAAGAAGCCCCGGCUAACUACGUGCCAGCAGCCGCGGUAAUACGUAGGGGGCAAGCGUUAUCCGGAUUUACUGGGUGUAAAGGGAGCGUAGACGGUUCUGCAAGUCUGAUGUGAAAGGCAGGGGCUCAACUCCUGGACUGCAUUGGAAACUGUAGAACUAGAGUGCCGGAGAGGUAAGCGGAAUUCCUAGUGUAGCGGUGAAAUGCGUAGAUAUUAGGAGGAACACCAGUGGCGAAGGCGGCUUACUGGACGGUAACUGACGUUGAGGCUCGAAAGCGUGGGGAGCAAACAGGAUUAGAUACCCUGGUA